Molecule: unclassified non-coding RNA, 383 nt
Filed under: fungal sp.
Lineage: Eukaryota; Fungi
Description: partial internal transcribed spacer region
Rfam family: Eukaryotic small subunit ribosomal RNA (bases 1-46)
Source: RNAcentral
AAGUCGUAACAAGGUUUCCAUAGGUGAACCUGCGGAAGGAUCAUUAACACGUAUCCAAACGUUAAAACCCCCCCCGUGAACCUUCAUCCUGCUCUUGUAACCCGCGUAGUUCGCAAUCUCUGAUAAAUCAUACCGAACAUUGGAACAGUUACAAUCGAGCGGUAGUUCUAUAGGCAAUGUUUCCCCAAGCAGUCAGUGUCGGAAAGUGUCAUUGAUUGUGCAAGGAUAGCGCUUCUACGAUUCCUGUAGACCGUACACUCGGGCAGGAGCUUUGCCAAAGGGUCCCCAUGCCCCCUAAUAACCCCACAGUUUAAUGUGAAGCUCAAUGUAAUACAUUGGGUAAAAAAACCGAACAACUGUUAACAAUGGAUAUCUUGGUUCUC